RNAcentral lists this ribosomal RNA (200 nucleotides) under uncultured organism. RNAcentral's name for it is "partial small subunit ribosomal RNA". It matches the Rfam family "Bacterial small subunit ribosomal RNA", at positions 1184 to 1382 of the family's 1533-position model. The record is from RNAcentral.
GUCAAAUCAUCAUGCCCCUUAUGUCCUGGGCUACACACGUGCUACAAUGGCCUGAACAACGGGCAUGCUAAGGAGCGAUCCGGAGCAAAUCCCUUAAAUCAGGUCCCAGUUCGGAUUGCAGGCUGCAACUCGCCUGCAUGAAGUCGGAGUUGCUAGUAAUCGCGGAUCAGAAUGCCGCGGUGAAUGCGUUCCCGGGCCUU